This 329-nucleotide unclassified non-coding RNA is filed under the name soil metagenome. Its description in RNAcentral is "partial contains 5.8S ribosomal RNA, internal transcribed spacer 2, and large subunit ribosomal RNA". The stretch from base 1 to 120 matches the Rfam family "5.8S ribosomal RNA", at positions 35 to 154 of the family's 154-position model. The record is from RNAcentral.
GAUGAAGAACGUAGCGAAAUGCGAUAAGUAAUGUGAAUUGCAGAAUUCAGUGAAUCAUCGAAUCUUUGAACGCACAUUGCGCCCCCUGGUAUUCCGGGGGGCAUGCCUGUCCGAGCGUCAUUACAACCCUCAAGCUCAGCUUGGUAUUGGGCCCCGCCGACCCGGCGGGCCCUAAAGUCAGUGGCGGUGCCGUCCGGCUCCGAGCGUAGUAAUUCUUCUCGCUCUGGAGGUCCGGUCGUGUGCUCGCCAGCAACCCCCAAUUUUUUUCAGGUUGACCUCAGAUCAGGUAGGGAUACCCGCUGAACUUAAGCAUAUCAAUAAGCGGAGGA